Gossypium arboreum is the source of this 695-nucleotide long non-coding RNA. RefSeq lists it as uncharacterized. The record is from RefSeq and is a predicted model, not a curated record. The transcript has 4 exons. NCBI's taxonomy places the organism in Eukaryota, Viridiplantae, Streptophyta, Magnoliopsida, Malvales, Malvaceae.
UAGGUCAUUAAAGUUAGUAAUAAAUAAAAUAAAAGCUAAAAUCAUGUUAUAUUCUUUCAUCUUCCACCAAAUGCAAAGAAAAGAAACAGCCAUGGAAGAAUUUGAGGGUUCGGCCGUUGUUGUUUUUAAUUGAGAGUUUCAGAGACUUGCUCGAGUUGGAAGUUAGAGGAGACGUCAUCACACUAUUCGAUUAUCGCUUUGAUCAAGAACCAAAAAGAUCGGACGUAGAUCGGGGAAAAUCAAAAAUCGUUGAGUAGUUGAAUUUAACUGUCCGUCUACAUCCGAGAUUUUGGAGAUCGUUACGUGCUCAGGGGAUUGUUAGUAAAGUCAUCCACACUAUCUUCAAUAUUUUGGUACUUUUAAAAGUUGGUUUGGUACUUAUGGCAAGUAUAAGCUAAUAACUCUUUUGGAGAUGUUUAAAUUUCAUAUAUGUAUAAUGGUUAAGUCAUGCGAAAAUGACUUAAUUUACAUGUUAAAGUUUGGUUAUGUUUAGUUGUGGUUUGAGUUUGCCUUUAUUUGUGAUACCUAAACUAUGCGUAUUUGAUUAUAGUAAUGAUCAAUGUGGGUUAUAAUAUUAGUUUGGUAAAAUUUGAAUAUGAUGGAAUAAUGGGCCUUAAUCGAGUCUAAGUCUUAUAUGGUAUGGUGGUGUAAGUUUAAUCAUGAUAUGUAUAUGUUGUGAUAAGUGAGUUGUUUUU